UGGGGAAUUUUGGACAAUGGGCGAAAGCCUGAUCCAGCAAUGCCGCGUGUGUGAAGAAGGCCUUCGGGUUGUAAAGCACUUUUGUCCGGAAAGAAAUCCUUGGCUCUAAUACAGUCGGGGGAUGACGGUACCGGAAGAAUAAGCACCGGCUAACUACGUGCCAGCAGCCGCGGUAAUACGUAGGGUGCAAGCGUUAAUCGGAAUUACUGGGCGUAAAGCGUGCGCAGGCGGUUUGCUAAGACCGAUGUGAAAUCCCCGGGCUCAACCUGGGAACUGCAUUGGUGACUGGCAGGCUAGAGUAUGGCAGAGGGGGGUAGAAUUCCACGUNUAGCAGUGAAAUGCGUAGAGAUGUGGAGGAAUACCGAUGGCGAAGGCAGCCCCCUGGGCCAAUACUGACGCUCAUGCACGAAAGCGUGGGGAGCAAACAGGAUUAGAUACCCUGGUAGUCCACGCCCUAAAACGAUGUCAACUAGUUGUUGGGGAUUCAUUUCCUUAGUAACGUAGCUAACGCGUGAAGUUGACCGCCUGGGGAGUACGGUCGCAAGAUUAAAACUCAAAUGAAUUGACGGGGUCAUAGCUG
Molecule: ribosomal RNA, 580 nt
Filed under: uncultured bacterium
Lineage: Bacteria
Description: partial 16S ribosomal RNA
Rfam family: Bacterial small subunit ribosomal RNA
Source: RNAcentral